RNAcentral lists this ribosomal RNA (253 nucleotides) under uncultured bacterium. Its description in RNAcentral is "partial 16S ribosomal RNA". It matches the Rfam family "Bacterial small subunit ribosomal RNA", at positions 524 to 776 of the family's 1533-position model. The record is from RNAcentral.
UACGUAGGGGCCGAGCGUUGUCCGGAUUCAUUGGGCGUAAAGAGCGUGUAGGCGGCCGCUUAAGUCCUGCGUGAAAUCUCGGAGCUCAACUCCGAGCGGUCGUGGGAAACUGGGCGGCUAGAGUGCGGGAGAGGAGAGUGGAAUUCCUGGUGUAGCGGUGGAAUGCGCAGAUAUCAGGAAGAACACCCGUGGCGAAGGCGGUUCUCUGGGACGGUACUGACGCUGAGACGCGAAAGCGUGGGGAGCGAACAGG